RNAcentral lists this ribosomal RNA (274 nucleotides) under uncultured bacterium. Its description in RNAcentral is "partial 16S ribosomal RNA". It matches the Rfam family "Bacterial small subunit ribosomal RNA", at positions 523 to 796 of the family's 1533-position model. The record is from RNAcentral.
AUACGUAGGUCCCGAACGUUGCGCGAAAUUACUGGGCGUAAAGGGUCCGUAGGCGGUCUGGUAAGUGGAAGGUGAAAGCCUGGGGCUCAACUCCAGAAUUGCCUUCCAAACUGCCGGACUUGAGGCAGGGAGAGGUCGGCGGAAUUCCCGGUGUAGCGGUGAAAUGCGUAGAUAUCGGGAGAAACACCAGUGGCGAAGGCGGCCGACUGGAACUGUCCUGACGCUGAGGGACGAAAGCCAGGGGAGCGAACCGGAUUAGAUACCCUAGUAGUCC